This is a long non-coding RNA of Cygnus olor (mute swan), 1013 nucleotides long. RefSeq lists it as uncharacterized. The transcript is spliced from 3 exons. The record is from RefSeq and is a predicted model, not a curated record. NCBI's taxonomy places the organism in Eukaryota, Metazoa, Chordata, Aves, Anseriformes, Anatidae.
UAUGUUGGUUGCUGCCAUGGAUAUGAUGCUCUUGCCUCUGAAGGAAGGAAAGACCAAACAAACCACCUGACAGCUUCAUGUGAAUGCUUGGCAGAUGUUAACAACCUUCAAUAACCAUUCAGCUUAUCUGGACUAUUACAAAAUGGUGUCCAUCUUCAUCAUUCUGUUGGUCAUCUGGUGCUCCAGAGCUGGUGCUGGACCCCAUCCUCUCCUGCCCAAAAACAAGAACUUUUUCCUUCCAUCUUGCUGACAGCUGCAUUGCUUCUUAGCAAUCUAUCCUCUUCUUGUAACAUCGGAUGCUAAGUUUUACUGACUAUCUUGCCUGAAAAGGCAUGUCUUGGGAUCAGCAUUACCUUGAUAGACUUUAUAGCUGAAAUUUGUAAAACUUGAAAAUGAGCACGUCAUUAUAAUCACUUCAUCCUAGGAUCAGUGGCAUUUUAAGGUGUAAUGAAAUAGCAUUCGUGUUAUUCAUCUAGUGGACUCUGAGGCAGUGAUGCCAAAUGGAGACAGAAGUGGUGGGGAAAAGUCUCUUAUGCACUGCUGAGUGAUGCCAACACGUGGGGCGGCUUGUGUUCAACUCUUGUGUUAGUGCUGCACCACGAGUCCAUGCUCCCCAGCCUACUGUGCCUGGCAGCUGAGCGCAGUGACACUGGGUGGCGAUGAACAAGGUGUGGGGAAAUGGCACUCUGCGGGGACAGCUGAGGUGUGCAGGGCAGGGUGAUGAGUCUCUGGCUGUUUGCAGGGUCCUCGCUCUGAUUUUCCCUCAGUGGUCUUUUCCAAUAUAGCUCUGUUUUGGGGUACAUGCUGAUUGGAUGGCUUUGUGGUGGUGUUCUUUACAAGUCCCUUUUGAAACUUAUUAAAUGAGUAGUCACAGGAAAUUAGCUUAGUUUUAUGUUCCAACAUGAGCUGAGACAAGGUAUUAAUUUGACAGCUGGGCUCUGCCUCUAUUGAUUUUAUAUUCCAAGUGCAGCUCUUUGGGGCAAGAUAUAGUUCACAGAAGCUGGAAUUCAUUU